ACAAACAGUCGUGUUAUCUGUCCCAACACACACUAUCCUUCAGCAGCCACACUGCUAGGAGCCGGUUCUACUUUGAGUCAUACCGUCCCUCUCUCUCUAGAUAUACUGUAAAAGGGAUUUUAGGUACAGACCAAAUUGUAGAAAUUCAUUCAUUUUGAUAAGGUGCAAAAUCAACAUUUUUAACAGCUGUAAAAUUGUCAAGGAGGUGGUUAGGCUCAAUCUGUUUUAUGACAGAUAAAGGAGCGCUGCAUCCCAAACAACACGUGGGUAAAUGGAAUCACAUCUAAAUGGAUUAUUAUAUGGCAUAUGGCCCUAGAAAGAUGGGUGUUCCAACAUAUUGUUUUUUAUGGUGGAAUCUCAUUUAGUCGGAAACACCAGAAUAACUUGAGUGUUUACUAGUGUGUGUGUUUAUAGGGAAACCUGUGGGGUUUGUGUGUUUAUAGGGAAACCUGUGGGGUGUGUGUGUUUAUAGGUAAACCUGUGGGGUGUGUGUGUUUAUAGGGAAACCUGUGGGGUGUGUGUGUUUAUAGGGAAACCUGUGGGGUGUGUGUGUUUAUAGGGAAACCUGUGGGGUGUGUGUGUUUAUAGGGAAACCUGUGGGGUUUGUGUGUUUAUAGGUAAACCUGUGGGGUGUGUGUGUUUAUAGGUAAACCUGUGGGGUGUGUGUGUUUAUAGGGAAACCUGUGGUGUGUGUGUUUAUAGGGAAACCUGUGGGGUUUGUGUGUUUAUAGGUAAACCUGUGGGGUGUGUGUGUUUA
Molecule: long non-coding RNA, 757 nt
Organism: Oncorhynchus keta (chum salmon)
Lineage: Eukaryota; Metazoa; Chordata; Actinopteri; Salmoniformes; Salmonidae
Exons: 3
Source: RefSeq, a predicted model, not a curated record